Molecule: ribosomal RNA, 406 nt
Filed under: uncultured bacterium
Lineage: Bacteria
Description: partial 16S ribosomal RNA
Rfam family: Bacterial small subunit ribosomal RNA
Source: RNAcentral
AUUGAACGCUGGCGGCAGGCCUAACACAUGCAAGUCGAACGAGUGGCGGACGGGUGAGUAAUGACUGGGAAACUGCCUGAUGGAGGGGGAUAACUACUGGAAACGGUAGCUAAUACCGCAUACCAUCGGAUGUGCCCCGAUGGGAUUAGCUUGUGGGUGGGGUAACGGCUCACCAAGGCGACGAUCCCUCGCUGGUCUGAGAGGAUGAACAGUGACACUGGAACUGAGACACGGUCGAGACUGCUACGCGAGGGAGCAGGGGGGAAUAUUGCACAAUGGGCUCAAGCCUGAUGCAGCCAUGUCGCGUGUAUGAAGAAGGCCUUCGGGUUGUAAAGUACUUUCAGCGGGGAGGCGGUACCCGCAGAAGAAGCACCGGCUAACUCCGUGCCAGCAGACGCGGUAAUAC